Long non-coding RNA from Acyrthosiphon pisum (pea aphid), 520 nucleotides. RefSeq lists it as uncharacterized. The transcript is spliced from 3 exons. Lineage: Eukaryota; Metazoa; Arthropoda; Insecta; Hemiptera; Aphididae. The record is from RefSeq and is a predicted model, not a curated record.
GUUACUAUGACUACUGCUGCUGUAAUUACUCCGGUCCAAACUUCAUUAUAAUUGUUAAAAACCCAACAGCAGCAACAACAACCACCAACACAACAAGAAAGCGCUAACAAAAUGAAAAUAUAGGUACAAGUGCGACUCUAAUACUCUAAUACAUUCCAAUCACAAGAACUCGGCCAUUUUCGAUUCCACAUGCGCACUUAUAUAAAAAAAAAAGGAGCUAGACAAUCCUAUUCUUAAUUUAACAGCGGCUAAAGUAUUAACUCCGGUACUGCAAUAGAAGAAUCGACUUAACAGAUGUGAAGUAUAUUUUAAAUGCUUUGAUACUCAAAUGAAUUGCCAUUACAUUCAAAAACACUAUAAUCAGCCAACAGCUCUCAUCAAGAACCUCCAGAUAGUAUUGAGAAAAAAUUUGAUGAAGACAAUGAAAAUGUGGAAAAAAAAUUGGAGACUUUGACAUGUUAUUCGCAAUCCAUAGUGAUAAUCCUAUUAACAGUGAAGAUACACAAAACAAAGUUUAAGA